This 382-nucleotide long non-coding RNA is filed under the name Salmo salar (Atlantic salmon). RNAcentral describes it as "lncRNA (ENSSSAG00000091392.1)". Lineage: Eukaryota; Metazoa; Chordata; Actinopteri; Salmoniformes; Salmonidae. The record is from RNAcentral.
CUCACCACAGUAUGUUGGAGACCUAUAACGAAGAUAUGGACAGUUUGGCUAAAGACAGUUAGACCAUCUCCAUGUUGAGAUGUAUUUCUGUAUUACAGGCCAUCAGACUGUUAAACAGUCACCACAAGCCGGCCUCCGCCCAGUACCCUGCCCUGAACAUAGUCACUGUUACUAGCUGACUACCACCCUGUACUCUACCCUGCACCUUAGAGACUGCUGCACUAUGUACAUAGUCAUUGAACACUGGUCACUUUAGUAAUGUUUACAUACUGUUUUACCCACUUCAUCUGUAUAUCCUGUAUUCUAGUCAAGGCUAAUCCUAUAUAACUACUGCUGUACACACCUUUUCUAUUCAUAUAUUGUCCAUAGUGUCUAUAUACAC